RNAcentral lists this ribosomal RNA (292 nucleotides) under uncultured bacterium. RNAcentral's name for it is "partial 16S ribosomal RNA". The record is from RNAcentral.
GGACUACCCGGGUAUCUAAUCCUGUUUGCUCCCCUUGCUCUCGCGCCUCAGCGUCAGGUAUAAACUAGAAAACCGCUUUCGCCACUGGUGUUCUUCCACAUAUCUACGCAUUUCACCGCUACACGUGGAAUUCCGUUUUCUCCGUCAACCCUCUAGAAUGAUAGUUUCAAAUGCAGCACCAAAGUUGAGCUUUGGUAUUUCACAUCUGACUUAUCUCUCCGCCUACGCGCCCUUUACGCCCAAUAAUUCCGAUUAAUGCUUGCACUCUCCGUAUUACCGCGGCUGCUGGCAC